Molecule: transfer RNA, 72 nt
Organism: Camelus ferus (Wild Bactrian camel)
Lineage: Eukaryota; Metazoa; Chordata; Mammalia; Artiodactyla; Camelidae
Rfam family: tRNA
About the family: Transfer RNA (tRNA) molecules are approximately 80 nucleotides in length. Their secondary structure includes four short double-helical elements and three loops (D, anti-codon, and T loops). Further hydrogen bonds mediate the characteristic L-shaped molecular structure. tRNAs have two regions of fundamental functional importance: the anti-codon, which is responsible for specific mRNA codon recognition, and the 3' end, to which the tRNAs corresponding amino acid is attached (by aminoacyl-tRNA synthetases). tRNAs cope with the degeneracy of the genetic code in two manners: having more than one tRNA (with a specific anti-codon) for a particular amino acid; and 'wobble' base-pairing, i.e. permitting non-standard base-pairing at the 3rd anti-codon position.
Source: Rfam
GCAGGUAGAGCUCAGUGGUAGAGAGCGUGCCUAGCAAGCAUGAGGUCCUGGGUUCAAUCCCCAGUACCUCCA